AUCCUUAUAUAGUUCCUCAGUAUGGUGAUUGGACAGUUACGCUGUUGUGUGAUAUCUGCCUCCCUCAAAUCUUGUUACCUUGGCACAUUACCCCUCUGACA
Mustela putorius furo (domestic ferret) is the source of this 101-nucleotide small nucleolar RNA. The record is from Ensembl. Lineage: Eukaryota; Metazoa; Chordata; Mammalia; Carnivora; Mustelidae.